Molecule: ribosomal RNA, 493 nt
Filed under: uncultured bacterium
Lineage: Bacteria
Description: bacterial SSU rRNA
Rfam family: Bacterial small subunit ribosomal RNA
Source: RNAcentral
UAUCGACGAGUUUGAUCAUGGCUCAGAAUGAACGUUGGCGGCGUGGAUUAGGCAUGCAAGUCGCGCGAUAAGAUUCCUUCGGGGAUCCCAAAGCGGCGAAAGGGAGAGUAACGCGUAGUUAUCUGCCCUGAGGACUGGGAUAGCGGCGGGAAACUGCCGGUAAUACCAGAUGAUAUCUCCGGAUCAAAGGUGUGAUUCCGCCUCAGGAUGAGACUGCGUCCUAUUAGCUAGUUGGUGUGGUAACGGCUCACCAAGGCGAAGAUGGGUACCGGGUGUGAGAGCACGACCCGGCUCACUGGGACUGAGACACUGCCCAGACACCUACGGGUGGCUGCAGUCGAGAAUCUUCGGCAAUGGGCGAAAGCCUGACCGAGCGACGCCGCGUGCGGGAUGAAGGCCCUCGGGUUGUAAACCGCUGCAGUGGGGAGCAAAUGGCUAGGAGUUAUCUCCUAGUCUUGAGCGAUCCAAAAAGGAAGUACGGGCUAAGUUCGUG